UACGAAGGGGGCGAGCGUUGUUCGGAUUUACUGGGCGUAAAGCGCGCGCAGGCGGUCACGCAGGUCAUCUGUGAAAGCACUCGGCUCAACCGGGAUGUUGCGGGUGAAACCGCGUGACUUGAGGGUGGGAGAGGUCGGUGGAAUUCCCGGUGUAGUGGUGAAAUGCGUAGAGAUCGGGAGGAACACCCGUAGCGAAGGCGGCCGACUGGACCACACCUGACGCUGAGGCGCGAAGGCCAGGGGAGCGAACGGG
This 253-nucleotide ribosomal RNA is filed under the name uncultured bacterium. RNAcentral's name for it is "partial 16S ribosomal RNA". It matches the Rfam family "Bacterial small subunit ribosomal RNA", at positions 524 to 776 of the family's 1533-position model. The record is from RNAcentral.